CAGAGUUCAUGCCCUUACGGGUAGAUCUCCCACCCUUGUGUAUUUAUACCAUGUUGCUUUGGCGGGUCGCGCACUCGCGCCUUGGGCCUUCGGGCUCGAGCGUGCCCGCCAGAGGCCUUCUAAACUCUGAUUAUUAGUGUCGUCUGAGUACUAUAUCAAUAGUUA
This 165-nucleotide unclassified non-coding RNA is filed under the name uncultured Lambertella. Its description in RNAcentral is "sequence contains ITS1". Lineage: Eukaryota; Fungi; Ascomycota; Leotiomycetes; Helotiales; Rutstroemiaceae. The record is from RNAcentral.